UGUGUAGGCUGUUUAUUAAGUCUAAGAUUAAAGCCCGAGGCUCAACCUCGGUUUGUUUUAGAAACUGGUAGACUUGAGUAUAGUAGAGGCAAGUGGAAUUUCUAGUGUAGCGGUUAAAUGCGUAGAUAUUAGAAGGAACACCGGUGGCGAAGGCGACUUGCUGGGCUAUUACUGACGCUGAGACACGAAAGCGUGGGGAGCAAAUAG
RNAcentral lists this ribosomal RNA (207 nucleotides) under uncultured bacterium. RNAcentral's name for it is "partial 16S ribosomal RNA". It matches the Rfam family "Bacterial small subunit ribosomal RNA", at positions 568 to 775 of the family's 1533-position model. The record is from RNAcentral.